UUAUACCAACCUGCCAGGUUAUGGAAGCCAUAUUCCUCAUGAACCACAAAAAAUGCUUCCGAAUGCUGGAGCACUGUCCAGUCUUCCUAAAUUUCCUUUCCCACUGAAGGGAUCCUCCUCCUUACACUUCAAAGUUCAUAAAAUCCUCUCACAGUGGUCUCCACCAAAAAUGUCUGAAGUUCCCUGAAAUGUCUAAUCUACUAUAAGAAUUAAGAUGGAUCUGAAAGACUGUGUGAAAGUCUCAAACUCUGUGUUCAUCAGUGGGUGAAGGCGUGUGAAAUUAUGCUUUCCCUCCGUCUCAACACACCAUUCUGUUGCUUUUCAUUUACCUGGGUAAGAGCACUGACUCGGUUCUCACUAGGAAACAAAGGCGGGUCUUCUCCAACUUGAAAAUCAAAAUACACGGUUUUGUGUGUGAACGUGGAAAAUUCAUUGCUGAAACAAAACUUGUAUGUCCCGUUUUUGGAGGCGGUGAAGGUAAAACUAUCAUACUGUUUCUUCAUCUCUUUGUAUAACACGUUACCAUCAGGAUCUUCUAAUCGACAGUCUACAUC
RNAcentral lists this long non-coding RNA (554 nucleotides) under Lynx pardinus (Iberian lynx). Lineage: Eukaryota; Metazoa; Chordata; Mammalia; Carnivora; Felidae. The record is from RNAcentral.